Molecule: long non-coding RNA, 581 nt
Filed under: Phoenix dactylifera (date palm)
Lineage: Eukaryota; Viridiplantae; Streptophyta; Magnoliopsida; Arecales; Arecaceae
Description: long non-coding RNA (PDAC_LNC021237)
Source: RNAcentral
AAUUUUCUGCGGUGUGCGAGGGAAUCCAACAAACAGAACUAAGGGGCGCAUGCUUGACCCCUUCCUCGAAAUGGGAAAUGUAAGCUUCUAAAGGGUCCUUAUUAUAAGUUUGUAAGAAAGUUUUCUGAACCAGACUUUCAAUCAUGUCAACUUCAUUGAUUUCUUUGUCGUUUGGUGGUUGUUUACUUAUGUUGAAGACAUUAUGCUCGACUUUCAUGUUGCCAAAAGAUAACUUCAGCAUCCCAUUUCGACAGUUGAUCACAGCAUUUGCUGUGGCUAAGAAAGGUCUACCUAAAAUUAUAGGUGUGUGACUGUCUGGAUGUAUUGCUGGUUCAGUCUCAAGGAUAACGAAGUCCACAGGAUAGUAAAACUCAUUUACUUUCACUAUUACAUCCUCUACAAUCCCGUUGGGAUACUUCACUGUCCUAUCUGCUAAGGAAAGGGUAAUAUUUGUAGGCUUUAAUUCUCCCAAACCUAAUUUUUGGUACACAUAGUAGGGAAGUAGGUUUACACUGGCUCCUAAAUCUAAUAGGUUUAUAAAAAAAAAAACAAGUACUUAGAAAUCAAAGAGUAUUUAUGAA